RNAcentral lists this transfer RNA (64 nucleotides) under Livia junci. RNAcentral describes it as "tRNA-Asn". Lineage: Eukaryota; Metazoa; Arthropoda; Insecta; Hemiptera; Liviidae. The record is from RNAcentral.
AAAUAGAAGUCAAAAAGAGACAAAUCAUUGUUAAUGAUAAAAUUGAAUAAAAUUCCUAUUUAAG